This 878-nucleotide ribosomal RNA is filed under the name Chlamydephorus burnupi. RNAcentral's name for it is "partial 16S ribosomal RNA". It matches the Rfam family "Archaeal large subunit ribosomal RNA", at positions 1569 to 2701 of the family's 2987-position model. Lineage: Eukaryota; Metazoa; Mollusca; Gastropoda; Stylommatophora; Chlamydephoridae. The record is from RNAcentral.
UUUUCCCGAGGAGAAGAGCUAAUUAUAUAAGUGCUUUAGCCUUACUUAUUAAUAUUAAAUAUAUUAUACUAAUAUUUGUAAUUAGGGAUGAAAUAUCUUCAAUUCUUCAGAUAUCUGGUUCCUGAUAAAAUGCAUUUAGUGCAGAAGAAAAUUUGAACUAAGAGAUAUUAAGGUCUUUUAUGAAUUUAUAGAUAAUUUUUUAGCUACCACCUGCGGAGUAACAUCCUUUAGGUUCAGGGCAAAUAAAUUUUUAUUUUAUUUUUAAAAUCGUUUAGUCAGGGUUUAUUAGAAAUUGACCUAAGAAUAUAUUCUGUUUAAAUUAGUACUAUAAGAAAUCUUUUUAAAGGAACUCGGCAAAUCUUCUCCUCGACUGUUUAGCAAAAACAUAGCCUGUUGUUAUUAAUAGUAGGUUUCCUCUGCCCAAUGUAAAGUAUAAACGGCCGCAGUACCCUGACUGUGCUAAGGUAGCAUAAUAAAUUGGCCUUUAAUUGGGGUCUUGAAUCAACGAGGUUACGGGGAGUGACUGUCUUUAUAGAGGUUAAUGGAAUUUCCUAUAUGAGGUGAAAAUUCCUCUAAGUAUUCAUAUUAGACAAGAAGACCCUUAGAGCUUUAAAUAAGUAAGUUUCCAGAGUAUUUAAAUAUAGCUUUUCUGUUGGGGCGACAAGGUAGCAUAUUUAAACCUACCUAGUUAGCUAAAGACCCGCCAGGCUUAUCAUGAAAGACAAAGCUACCUGAGGGAUAACAGCGUAAUAGAGUUAUCUGCUUGCGACCUCGAUGUUGGAUUAGGCACUAAGUCCUUUAGAAGAGCUCUUAGCCUGUUCUGUUCGAACAUUAUAGCCUACAUGAUCUGAGUUCAGACCGGCGUAGCCAGUCAGAUC